UGGCGUGGUGACGUAGGGGCGGGGGCCGCGCCUCUUUCUGCAGCUACUCAGGCGUGGGUUUAGAAUCUGUGAGGGUCUGUGGGGUGUCCCGCGUGCCCAAGGCGCGCGGUUUGUUUUUGGCGUUUGCUGCUGAAUGUGUUGUCUCCGUUCCGCCCUUUAGGGAAGCGGGAAGCAGCAGAGGUUCCGUGGGGACCGAGCUGGGACCCUUGAAGGGGAAGGGGUCUCGAGCGCCUAAGGGCUUGCUGCGGCCCGGAAGAGGGGCGAGGAGAGGGUCCCCGCGGGCUGCGUCCGAACGCUCCCUGCAUCAGGGCAGGUCACGAGGAGGGCCUGGGCAGCCGCGCGAUGUUCGGGGCCCGGUGUCUCCUCCGAGCCCUGCGCUCCUGUUCCUCCGUUCCCUGCCCAAGGCACAAACCUUCAACAAAACUGAGCGUGCGGGACGCUCUCGGUGCCCAGAACGUGAAUGGGGAGCGCGUUAAGGUCCAGGGGUGGAUUCGUUCAGUCCGAUCCCAGAAGGAAGUCUUAUUCCUACAUGUAAACGAUGGUUCAUCCUUGGAAAGCCUGCAGGUUGUAGCAGAUUCGAGCUUUGACAGUAGAGAACUGGCUUUUGGGAGUUCUGUGGAGGUUCAAGGGCAGCUAGUAAAAAGUCCAUCCAAAGGACAAAAUGUGGAACUGAAGGCAGAAAAAAUUGAAGUUGUUGGAAAUUGUGAUGUCAAGGCUUUCCCUUUAAAAUAUAAAGAGCGGCAUCCUCUGGAGUAUCUGAGACAGUAUCCUCACCUUCGGUGCAGGACUAAUGUUCUGGGUUCUAUCCUGAGAGUUCGCAGUGAAGCCACAGCUGCUGUCCAUUCUUUUUUUAAGGACAGUGGCUUUGUGCAUAUUCACACUCCAGUAAUCACAUCCAACGACUGUGAAGGGGCCGGAGAACUUUUUCAAGUUGAACCUUCAAGCAAAAUAAAGGUACCUGACGAGAACUUCUUCAGUGUUCCCGCUUUCUUAACUGUCUCGGGACAGCUGCAUCUCGAAGUGAUGUCCGGAGCUUUUACUCAAGUGUUUACCUUUGGUCCAACAUUCCGAGCAGAGAAUUCUCAGACCCGGAGACACCUGGCCGAGUUUUAUAUGGUAGAAGCAGAGAUUUCUUUUCUUGAGAGCCUUCAAGAUCUCAUGCAGGUUAUGGAGGGCCUCUUCAAGACGGCGACAAGGGCCGUUCUCGCAAGUUGUCAGGAAGACGUUGAACUCUGUCACAAGUUCAUAGCUCCUGGACAAAAGGACAGAUUAGAACAUAUGCUAAAACACAACUUUCUAGUCAUUUCUUAUACUGAGGCAGUGGAGAUCUUAAAGCAAGCAUCCGAGAACUUCACCUUCACCCCAGAGUGGGGUGCUGAUCUACACACGGAGCAUGAAAAGUACCUGGUGAAGCAUUGUGGUGACAUCCCGGUCUUUGUCAUUAAUUAUCCCUUAUCUCUCAAGCCAUUCUACAUGAGGGAUAACGAAGAUGGCCCUCGGCACACAUUAUGGGUAGGGUUUCUUGCCCUUUUGGGAGGCUUAAGUUCUGCUGCCAGCGUUUAGUAGAGGUGCCGUGCACGUGUGGAUGUCUGUUUUUGAUGUGUGCGGUGGAAGGUGAGAGCGGUGCCUUACUCUUCCACCAUCUUGGUCCUUCUCUCGUAAGUAACGUGUGUAUCGUAUUCAUGCAGAAAACAUUUUGGUAAGUACACCACAUAAAUGGUGCCAGAGGGGAGAGGUAAUUGUCCACCUGCAUUUUGUAGUCUAAAGAUUAUAUUAAACAUAUGGGUUUGAAACAGGGAACGUGAGUUGGUAACAUAAGAUUCUGGUAAGCAGUUAAACAGCCAGUUGUCCAAAUGUUAAAAGUUCUACUUGCUUGAGAAGCUGACACUUACUGGAAUACCCUGAAAAAGGAGUGUGUUUAUGUCUUUUUUUCUCUUUAGGUUGCUGCUGUUGAUCUUCUGGUUCCUGGAGUUGGAGAGCUUUUUGGAGGAAGCCUCAGAGAGGAACGGUAUCAUUUCUUAGAGCAGCGGUUGGCCAGGCUGGGACUCCAAGAAGCCUACCAGUGGUAUCUGGACCUCCGUCGAUUUGGAUCUGUACCGCAUGGAGGUUUUGGGAUGGGAUUUGAACGCUACCUGCAGUGCAUCUUGGGAAUUGACAAUAUCAAAGAUGUAAUCCCUUUUCCAAGAUUUACUCAUUCGUGUCUUUUAUAGCUGGAAGAUUGGUUAAGGAAAACCACACCAGCGGAGGUACUGCACAUGAACACACACGGGAGAAUGCAUGUUUGAACUGCAGAAAUGCAGGAGUUUUCAAUAUGUAAUUGUCAUGCUGGGAGAUAGAUGAAAAAUACACAUGAUCAGGAUUUUAUUAGAAAGUUGAAGGCAUUUCAUGAAAAGAUGAACUCGCUCAAGAAGAGGACUUAUAGCAGAUGGAAUCUCAGAUCUGCUGUAUCAAUUAAGAAGAAAUGAACAAAUUGAAUUAGAUGAUAUUAAAGGUCCUUUCAAACUCGAAGACAGAAUGAAAGAGUGUAUUUUACUUAGUCUUUAAUCAGUAGGCCACUGCCCUGUGUGAACUUGGAGAAGCAACUAGUAGCUAAAAAUAAAAUGUUGGAUCUUUUCUCACUUGCCAUUUAACCUAUCGUAAAUUCCCAUGUUAUUCUCAGUGCUUUACUAAACAUCACAGAAGAAAAUAUUCCUUUUGGGAGUCUUCAUUGAGUUAAUAAAGCUGCUGUUGUGAAUUGAAAUCUUUUUUCAUCAGACUGCCUGAAAAAAUUACAUUUAAUAACUGUUGGUCCUUAAUUAUAAAAACUGAGAUAUAUUAAUUAUUUAAGCGAAUCACUGGUAUGUUACAGUUAGUUUAUGUUAGAUGUUUAUAAUGUUUCUGCUAAGCAAUAAAAAUAUACUUUUGAUGCCUAUGAAAGAAAGAAACAGGUUUUUAAAUUCCAUUUGGCCUUUUCCCAGUGAAAUUUGGAAGAAAGGUAUUUUCAAUCCAAGACAUAUAUAGCUAAACCUAAAGGGUGAGUAAUUCUGGAGUCAAAAAGUAACGGAGGGUAUCGAAGUGAGAAGAUCCCUGAUCUGGGCGUUCGUGACCUGACAGCUCUGGCACCGCAUGUGUGAGUUCAGAUGAACCACUCACUCUCUCUGAACUCAUGCGUCAGUUUCCUCACAGAGUUGAUAUAGUAGUUACAUAACUCUGUGUGUGUGUGUUUCAGACUGUGAAAUGCUGCCUAAAUUUUGUUAAACUCUUUACCUUUAGUCUUCAUUGAGGCACGGAUCGAUGGACUUAAUGGCAAAUUGUAAACUCAGUACAAUUUAUAAUCCUAUGUAUUAAAUGAUUAUAAGAAGACAUAA
This is an RNA transcript of Sus scrofa (pig), 3347 nucleotides long. It is a transcript of the gene named asparaginyl-tRNA synthetase 2, mitochondrial, with no coding region annotated. The record is from RefSeq and is a predicted model, not a curated record. NCBI's taxonomy places the organism in Eukaryota, Metazoa, Chordata, Mammalia, Artiodactyla, Suidae.